Molecule: ribosomal RNA, 762 nt
Filed under: uncultured archaeon
Lineage: Archaea
Description: bacterial SSU rRNA
Rfam family: Archaeal small subunit ribosomal RNA
Source: RNAcentral
UACCCUUAGGUCGAGUAUACCCUCGGGAAACUGAGGCUAAAACUCGAUGGAAGAUAUGCCCUGGAAUGACUUAUCUUCAAAAUUCGGGCCUAAGGAUGAGGCUGCGGUGGAUUAGGUUGUUGGCGGGGUAAAUGCCCACCAAGCCAAUGAUCCAUAAGGGCUCUUAGCGGAGAGGCCCUGAGAGGGAAUCUGAGACACUAUUCCCAGCCCUACGGGGUGCAGCAGUUAGGAAUAAUCUACAAUGCGCGAAAGCGUGAUAGUUUGAAUCAGAGUGCGUUUCUAUGAAAUGCUUUUGCCAAGUCUAAAAAGCUUGGCGAAUAAGGACUGGGUAAGACGAGUGCCAGCCGCCGCGGUAAUACUCGCGGUCCAAGUCGCAGCCAUCUUUAUUGGGUCUAAAACAUCCGUAGCUUGCUUUUUAAGUUCCUUGUGAAAUCUUAUAUCUCAAAUAUAAGGCGGGCAAGGAAUACUGGAAAGCUAGAGAUUGGGAGACGUAAAGAGUACGUUUAAGGUAGCGGUAAAAUGUGUUAAUCUUAAACGGACUAACAAUAGCGAAGGCACUUUACGAGAACAGUUCUGACAGUAAGGGAUGAAGGCUAGGGGCGCAAAACGGAUUAGAUACCCGUGUAGUCCUGGCAGUAAACACUGCUCACUAAACAUCGGGACCUCUUCGAGAGGUUUCGGUGCUGCAGCGAAGGCGAAGAGUGAGCUACCUGGGAAGUAUAGUCGCAAGGCUGAAACUUAAAGGAAUUGGCGGGGGAGCAC